This 301-nucleotide ribosomal RNA is filed under the name uncultured bacterium. RNAcentral describes it as "partial 16S ribosomal RNA". It matches the Rfam family "Bacterial small subunit ribosomal RNA", at positions 509 to 807 of the family's 1533-position model. The record is from RNAcentral.
CAGUAGCCGCGGUAAUACGUAGGUGGCAAGCGUUAUCCGGAAUUAUUGGGCGUAAAGCGCGCGUAGGCGGUUUUUUAAGUCUGAUGUGAAAGCCCACGGCUCAACCGUGGAGGGUCAUUGGAAACUGGAAAACUUGAGUGCAGAAGAGGAAAGUGGAAUUCCAUGUGUAGCGGUGAAAUGCGCAGAGAUAUGGAGGAACACCAGUGGCGAAGGCGACUUUCUGGUCUGUAACUGACGCUGAUGUGCGAAAGCGUGGGGAUCAAACAGGAUUAGAUACCCCCGUAGUCCCUGUCUCUUAUAC